GAUGAACGCUAGCGACAGGCUUAACACAUGCAAGUCGAGGGGCAGCAUAAAAGUAGCAAUACUUUGGUGGCGACCGGCGCACGGGUGAGUAACGCGUAUGCAACCUACCUAUCAGAGGGGGAUAACCCGGCGAAAGUCGGACUAAUACCGCAUAAAACAGGGGCACCGCAUGGUGCUAUUUGUUAAAAAUUAUUGCUGAUAGAUGGGCAUGCGUUCCAUUAGGUAGUUGGAGAGGUAACGGCUCACCAAGCCUACGAUGGAUAGGGGAACUAAGAGGUUGGUCCCCCAACUGGUACUGAGACACGGACCAGACUCCUACGGGAGCAGCAGUGAGGAAUAUUGGUCAAUGGGCGAGAGCCCUGAACCAGCCAAGUCGCGUGAAGGAAGAAGGAUCUAUGGUUCGUAAACUUCUUUUGCAGGGGAAUAAAGUGCAGGACGUGUCCUGUUUUGAUGUACCCUGAGAAUAAGGAUCGGCUAACUCCGUGCCAGCAGCCGCGGUAAACUACG
RNAcentral lists this ribosomal RNA (507 nucleotides) under uncultured bacterium. RNAcentral's name for it is "bacterial SSU rRNA". It matches the Rfam family "Bacterial small subunit ribosomal RNA", at positions 28 to 527 of the family's 1533-position model. The record is from RNAcentral.